UUUAUUUGAUUGGAAAUUAAUCUGUCUUUGUUUUCUUGAUUUGAAAUCUUAUUUGUUUUUCAGUUGAGCUAAUAGAAGCGUUUUGUUUUGUUUUGUUUUUGGGUUCUUCAUUUCAUGUAAAGUUUUUCUAAUUAUAUUGAUUGGAGAUGCCUUAUUUAAUUUCAGAUUAUUCUGUUAAUCACUUGAUGCUUCUUUCUUCAUAUGUAUUGAGUAGCUUCUGGUCCAAAAUCAAGUAUUUACAGUCCCACAUAUUAGAAUAUAAAACAUAAUUUACACAGAGCUUGGUAUGGUAUGAAAUUUUGGGCACAUCAGGUUACCAAAGUAUGGUUAUGAUGUUAAUUUGCUUCUGUGUAUAUAUAUAUAUAUAUAUAUAUAUAUGCGACUGCUCUCUUUGACAUAAGUUGACAAGUUUUGAUCAGAGGCUGUGCAAAAUGUAACUGUAUUGUCAUGUCUUUUGAGCCCAAUGGCCUUGAUUAUGGCUCAAAUUCAAGGUACAGAAAACACAUUGAGAGCUGAUAGACGAUAUUGGGUCUUAGUGCUCAAAACAUUUGUUCUUCAUUUGCGUAUGUAAAUAUCUGAUUAGAUUUCUCAGUCAUGGAACAAUAGUUGCUGGAAUGUUUGGUUCUCAUUCAAAAAUGCAUCAAGCAUGCCCAUGUUUUUUUCAGCAUAUGCAGUGAAAAAUUCUAUGCAAACUCUGAAGGUAAGUGAUUGGCAUCUUGAAGGAGCUAGGAGCAUUUAAUAUAUUCUACAGCCAAGCCACGGGAGGAGAAGAAAAAACAAAUGGCCAAGCUCUAGAGUACAUUGUAAAUUAUUUUGCUAGUUAGCUUCAAUAGUUAGGUCUCAUGGAACAAUUAAUGACUAUUGUAGAUGUAUUUUGAUGGUUGUAAUGACAUUGGAGUUUUCAGAAUGAAUGUGAACAUCAAAGAAUGGC
RNAcentral lists this long non-coding RNA (931 nucleotides) under Rosa chinensis. RNAcentral's name for it is "sRNA RchiOBHm_Chr1g0356391". The record is from RNAcentral. Lineage: Eukaryota; Viridiplantae; Streptophyta; Magnoliopsida; Rosales; Rosaceae.